AGGAAAGGAGGGGAGAAGGAAGGAGGGAGAGUAGAAAUAACCAACUGAGCAAUAGAGGACGUUUGACAUAUAAUUUCCUUCUAUACUUUGAGCCUGAUCUUUUCUCUCCCUCUCACACUUCCCUCUCUCUCUCUCUCUCUCUCUCUCUCUCUCUCUCUCUCUCUCUUCUUCUUCUUUCUUCUUCUAUCGGUAAGUCUUACACCACUACUUUGAUAGAGGGAUAGAAAGGGACGAGUAAAUGAUAUGUCUCUGAGAGCUGACAGCUCAAGGAACACAGAUGCAGAGUUGUUUCGCUUUUCUUCUCUCUGCAGUUGUCAACGGCUGCAUUUGCAUAUUUCUAAAGUCUACCAAAGAAAAUAGCCUGCAGCUAGAGUAACCUAGCCACUGUGCAUAUUGGAGACAGAAACAGAGAGGGAGAGGGAGGGAGUGCAGACAGUGAAAGACCAAACCAGGGAAGACAGGACCUGGAAAGUGAGAGAGAGUGAAAGAAAAGGUUGGAUGGAGCAUGGGAUCUGGGACAAUCCUGCUGCCCUCGUGGACUGGAGUUUAUAGUGCACCUCUUCUCUGCAGCCCUGAGUACAGAGAUAGACAGGGAGAGAUAGAGCAAAUGAGAGAAAAUAGGGAGAGAGAGGGGGAAAGGAAAAGACAGAGAGAGAGAGAGAGAGAGAGAGUGCAAAAUAAAAGAGAGAGAGAGAGAAAGAGAGAGAGAGAGGGAGCAAAAGCGAGUGAGAGAGCAAAAGAGAGAAGAGAAUGAGAGUAAAAAGAGAGAGAACAGAGGGAGAGAGGGCUAAAAUAUGUGCAUCAUAAGGACUCUUCAGCUUCCUUCAUGAAUAUCAAACAGUCGACCCUGGCCUGUUCCAUGCUGCGUCAACACAACACAUGAGAAACAUUACUGCUCUCCUCCCUUUGUACACACACAGCAAUAUGCAUAGAGUUGGUUCUCCUGACCACACCACCUGACCUGAUCAGGGAGGACUCUGGACCCUGGUUAGAGGCUAUAGGUCUCCUGGUCAGGGACGACUCUGGACCCUGGUUAUGGGCUAUAUGUCUCCUGGUCAGGGAGGACUCUGGACCCUGGUUAUGGGCUAUAUGUCUCCUGGUCAGGGAGGACUCUGGACCCUGUUUAGAGGCUAUAGGUCUACUGGUCAGGGAGGACUCUGGACCCUGGUUCGAGGAUAUAGGUCUACUGGUCAGGGACGACUCUGGACCCUGGUUAUGGGCUAUAAGUCUCCUGAUGAGCGAAAACUCCUGGCCCUGUAUAUGUGUGAUGAGAGGGGUACCGAAGGCUAUUAUAGAGUGUGUCGGUGGUGUUCGCAUCAUGGCUACAUCAUCAUCAAUCAUUUAACAAAGGUCAUUAAACCAUUAUUAUUCUGUUUUGUCAACAGCCAUGAUACCAUGAUGAUGCAUGUUGCAUCCCUUACAGAAAAAACAUUUGUUUGGAAACCUUCACGUGAUCACGUUUUCACAUUUGUGGUUUCAUGUUGUCGCUUGUUGCUUUACACUUUGUAAGAAACCUCCUCUCUACCUAACCAAAGACAGUACAGUGUGAAGAUAGGCAGAAAUUGCUUCUCCAUUCGUAAACCCUGAUCACACUUGAACUCAUUGCGGCGUUGGCUGGCUAAGCUCAUGAGCAGAAACACGUCAUCGGGUGUAACGGUCGUCUCGUGCCGAACUGCCAUUGUGCAGGCCGUCAACUCAAAGGCCCUCCAUCAAUAUAAAGUUGUUUUUGACGAAAAUCAAAACGUGUCAGUUUGUCACUUUCAGGAGGUUGGGUGCGAUGUUUCAGUUUCAAUGACUCAAUAUUUUGGACAAAUACAGCCUACUGUAUGCUCUCGUUGGCUGGCCCUCACUUCAUACUCGUCACCAAACCCACUGGCUCCAGGUCAUCCACAAGACCCUGCUAGGUAAAGUCCCCCCUUAUCUCAGCUCACUGGUCACCAUAGCAUCACCCACCUGUAGCACACGCUCCAGCAGGUAUAUCUCUCUAGUCACCCCCAAAACCAAUUCUUUCUUUGGCCGCCUCUCCUUCCAGUUCUCUGCUGCCAAUGACUGGAACGAACUGCAAAAAUCUCUGAAACUGGAAACACAUAUCUCCCUCACUAGCUUUAAGCACCAGCUGUCAGAGCAGCUCACAGAUUACUGCACCUGUACAUAGCCCAUCUAUAAUUUAGCCCAAACAACUACCUCUUGCCCUACUAUAUUUAUUUUGCUCCUUUGCACCCCAUUAUUUCUAUCUCUACUUUGCACAUUCUUCCACUGCAAAAUCUACCAUUCCAGUGUUUUACUUGCUAUAUUGUAUUUACUUCGCCACCAAGGCCUUUUUUUUGCCUUUACCUCCCUUAUCUCACCUCAUUUGCUCACAUCGUAUAUAGACUUAUUUUUCUACUGUAUUAUUGACUAAAUGUUUGUUUUAUUCCAUGUGUAACUCUGUUGUUGUAUGUGUCGAACUGCUUUGCUUUAUCUUGGUCAGGUCGCAAUUGUAAGUGAGAACUUGUUCUCAACUUGCCUACCUGGUUAAAUAAAUAAAGGUGAAAUAAAAAAUAUAUACAUUUAAAAAGGCUGGGAAUUUCAAUACAAUCAAACUGGCAAGGACAAUGAUCACAAAUCAGUCAAAACCUGGCGAAUAGAGUAGCAGAUCUAUUUAUGUAGCUAUUUGUUUAGGAAGUUGAAAACACAUUAUCAACAGAUGUAUAUCAACAGAUUUUCAUUGGAUUUCAUGUUGCUAAAAUGCUGUCAGAUCCACUUUAGACAGUGUCUCAGAUCUAGGUUGUGCCUUUAGAUUUAGAGAAAAUGAAUAGCAAAGAAGGUGUCUUCACUUCUCUCAUUGAUUUAUCAAACCCCUGUCUGGUCUGUAGGGUCUGCUUCCCAAGCGCAAGAGAAUCGCGAUGUUGCGUCUCUGGGUUAAGAAACUCUGUGACCUAACCUUCCAUCACAGUCGCCUUAGUUCCCCCGCGGUCCCGAUAGCGUGAUAUUUCAAUUCAAUUCAUUUCAAUUCAAGGGCCUUUAUUGUCAUGGGAAACGUGUUAACAUUGCCAAAGCAAUGUCACCAUCUCAGCUGUCCAUCAAAGCCCUUUAGCUUCAGCCAAUCAGUGUGCCCACAUGCACAUCUGGACUUGGACCCCUCCCACCCCAUGUCAGAGUGUUUUAGUCCGAGGAAGAGGAAAGUUUUGGCCUGGAAGAUUGUGCGUACAUCUAAGAAAAAAGUACAUUCCUAUUGUAACCGAAGAUCCUGCAUGUGUGUGUUAAUUAUGUGUGGUGGUGAUGAAGAAAAAUACAAGUCUUGGACUGUUCCUGACAGAUAGCAUGUAGCGAGUCAGAACAUCUAGAAACAAGCAUGAAGUAAGCCUACAUCUACAAGCAUUAAGUAGGCCUACAUCUACAAGCAUUAAGUAGACCUACAUCUACAAGCCUUAAGUAGGCCUACAUCUACAAGCAUUAAGUAGGCCUACAUCUACAAGCAUUAAGUAGAC
Molecule: long non-coding RNA, 3470 nt
Organism: Oncorhynchus tshawytscha (Chinook salmon)
Lineage: Eukaryota; Metazoa; Chordata; Actinopteri; Salmoniformes; Salmonidae
Source: Ensembl